UGCCAGCCGCCGCGGUAAUACGGAGGGGGUUAGCGUUGUUCGGAAUUACUGGGCGUAAAGCGCGCGUAGGCGGAUUGGAAAGUUGGGGGUGAAAUCCCGGGGCUCAACCCCGGGACUGCCUCCAAAACUGCCAGUCUAGAGUAAUGGAGAGGUAAGUGGAAUUCCUGGUGUAGCAGUGAAAUGCGUGGAUAUCAGGAGGAACAUCAAUGGCGAAGGCAACUUACUGGACAUUUACUGACGCUCAGACACGAAGGCUAGGGUAGCGAAAGGGAUUAGAUA
Molecule: ribosomal RNA, 279 nt
Filed under: uncultured bacterium
Lineage: Bacteria
Description: partial 16S ribosomal RNA
Rfam family: Bacterial small subunit ribosomal RNA
Source: RNAcentral